UACGGAAGGCAGCAGUGGGGAAUAUUGCACAAUGGGCGCAAGCCUGAUGCAGCCAUGCCGCGUGUAUGAAGAAGGCCUUCGGGUUGUAAAGUACUUUCAGUCGUGAGGAAGGUGUUAAGGUUAAUAACCUUAGCAAUUGACGUUAGCGACAGAAGAAGCACCGGCUAACUCCGUGCCAGCAGCCGCGGUAAUACGGAGGGUGCGAGCGUUAAUCGGAAUUACUGGGCGUAAAGGGCACGCAGGCGGUUAAUUAAGUUGGAUGUGAAAUCCCCGGGCUUAACCUGGGAAUGGCAUUCAAGACUGGUUAGCUAGAGUCUUGUAGAGGGGGUAGAAUUCCAUGUGUAGCGGUGAAAUGCGUAGAGAUGUGGAGGAAUACCGGGUGGCGAAGGCGGCCCCUGGGACAAAGGCUGACGCUCAUGUGCGAAAGCGUGGGGAGCAAACAGGGAUUAGAUACC
This 455-nucleotide ribosomal RNA is filed under the name uncultured bacterium. RNAcentral's name for it is "bacterial SSU rRNA". It matches the Rfam family "Bacterial small subunit ribosomal RNA", at positions 340 to 786 of the family's 1533-position model. The record is from RNAcentral.